This 433-nucleotide ribosomal RNA is filed under the name uncultured bacterium. RNAcentral's name for it is "partial 16S ribosomal RNA". It matches the Rfam family "Bacterial small subunit ribosomal RNA", at positions 29 to 507 of the family's 1533-position model. The record is from RNAcentral.
AACGAACGCUGGCGGCAUGCCUAACACAUGCAAGUCGAACGAGACCUUCGGGUCUAGUGGCGCACGGGUGCGUAACGCGUGGGAACCUGCCCUUAGGUUCGGCAUAACUCCCCGAAAGGGGUGCUAAUACCGGAUAAUGUCUUCGGACCAAAGAUUUAUCGCCUUUGGAUGGGCCCGCGUUGGAUUAGCUAGUUGGUAGGGUAAUAGCCUACCACGGCGACGAUCCAUAGCUGGUCUGAGAGGAUGAUCAGCGACACUGGGACUGAGACACGGCCCAGACUCCUACGGGAGGCAGCAGUGGGGAAUAGUGGACAAUGGGCGAAAGCCUGAUCCAGCAAUGCCGCGUGAGUGAUGAAGGCCUUAGGGUUGUAAAGCUCUAUUACCCGGGAUGAUAAUGACAGUACCGGGAGAAUAAGCUCCGGCUAACUCCGUG